Patella vulgata (common limpet) is the source of this 680-nucleotide long non-coding RNA. RefSeq lists it as uncharacterized. The transcript has 5 exons. The record is from RefSeq and is a predicted model, not a curated record. Lineage: Eukaryota; Metazoa; Mollusca; Gastropoda; Patellidae.
AGCUAAUCGGCGCUACACCGUUGUUCAAAUACUUAUAAUUGCAAGAAACCCCCGACUAGGACCAGCAGUCAUUGAUGUUAGCAUGUACUACACAAAGAAAAACAGGCAAAGCAUGAAGCCAAAGGAAAUGUUUUUACCAAGGCAUGUUCCUCAAUAGCGGAGAGAGUUUUAUCCAGUGUCGGUUCUGCAGAAGAACCCAUUCAUAGCAGACCACCCAUUGCAGCACUUGUAAGGUCGCUAUAAAGAACCCGACAGACUCUGCGACCAAAAGAUCCCACUGACGUGUCGUCAAGCCUUGACGAAGAUUUCAUCGAUCAUAGUGCACCGGGAUUUUAUCAAAAAAGAGUAAAAGUUGGGGAAAGGCGCCAUCACAUUUUUUGUACUGAUAGACAGAUGCAACUACUCGCACGCGCAAAAACUUGGUAUAUGGAUGCAACUUUUCGGGUGGUGAACAAGCCAUGGUCUCAGCUGUUUUCCAUACACGCCUUCAUUAAGACUGGAGAGACCACCCGACAGUCACCAUUGGUGUUUUGUGUAAUGUCGGGUAAAAGCCAAGACGACUAUUAUAAGUUUCCAUAUUAGAUGCCAUAGCAAAUCAAAGAUCAUAUAAUAAAAUAAGUCAAAAAACCCAAAUAUGGAAAAAGAAAGAGCUGAAGAAAUGGUGAUUUGAGCACCUAUGC